UGCUUACGGGAGGCAGCAGUGAGGAAUAUUGGUCAAUGGCCGCAGGGCUGAACCAGCCAAGUCGCGUGAGGGAAGACGGCCCUACGGGUUGUAAACCUCUUUUGCCGGGGAGCAAGCCUGAGCACGUGUGCCCAGGCGGAGAGUACCCGGAGAAAAAGCAUCGGCUAACUCCGUGCCAGCAGCCGCGGUAAUACGGAGGAUGCGAGCGUUAUCCGGAUUUAUUGGGUUUAAAGGGUGCGCAGGCGGGCUGGUAAGCCGGCGGUAAAAAUUCAGGGCUCAACCCUGUCCAGGCGUCCGAACCGGCG
RNAcentral lists this ribosomal RNA (305 nucleotides) under uncultured bacterium. RNAcentral describes it as "bacterial SSU rRNA". It matches the Rfam family "Bacterial small subunit ribosomal RNA", at positions 335 to 638 of the family's 1533-position model. The record is from RNAcentral.